Oncorhynchus keta (chum salmon) is the source of this 2146-nucleotide long non-coding RNA. RefSeq lists it as uncharacterized. The record is from RefSeq and is a predicted model, not a curated record. The transcript has 3 exons. NCBI's taxonomy places the organism in Eukaryota, Metazoa, Chordata, Actinopteri, Salmoniformes, Salmonidae.
AUAAUAUACAGGGGUUAGCCAUUUACACACGUUUUAAUACCUGUGCCGCAAGAUGAGGGAAUUUGACCUGGACUGUGUUGGCUGUGGUAUAUCACAAGGUAUUUCAUCUGUAAUGACCAAUGAAAGCAAUGUAAACACACACAACUAACGACUUUCGAGAUGAUGCGAGCAUACAUAGGCAGACAUAGCCUACUACCAACACCACAGUCAGGUAGCCAAAGUGAAUAAUAGGAUAAACUAAAAUCCUCUAAAUGGCUCCAGUCCUGACUCAACCUCCGAGACAUUCUGUGGCUCUUGCAUUUUCAACACCAAUUACGAGUUCCCUUUUAGUUUGAGGUGUGCGACGCUUGCUACCAUGCAACAUCAAUAGAACAAAGUGGAAGAGGCGAGAGAGAGAGUCUCUACCCUCCCCUCCCAUUUCGCGCCGUUUCUCUCCCCUAAAACCGUGAGAGAUGCGUAAACAGGGCAGACGUUCAUUCUAAUUGCGCCGCAGGGAAACAGACGCCGGAGUUAAAUCUAACCAUGGGGAGUUCCACGAGCUACCGGUGUCUCGGUCAUCAUCCAUGGGAGAAAAAUAAACGAAUCACAAGAGUCAGAGACAGUAGAAUAACUUGACUGCCCGCUUUUCAAACAAAGGCACAGUGGAGAGACGAGAGUGAAUUCAAGCAGGCGACAAUGACCCAACACACCUCCAGGCUGUGUAAGGACUAUUUGACCAAGAAGGAGAGUGAUGGAGUGCUGCAUCAGAUGACCUGGCCUCCACAAUCACCCGACCUCAACCCAAUUGAGAUAGUUUGGCAUGAGUUGGACCGCAGAGUGAAGGUAAAGCAGCCAACAAGUGCUCAGCACAUGUAGGAACACCUUCAAGACUGUUGGAAAAUCAUUCCAAGUGAAGCUGGUUGACAGAAUGCCAAGAAUGUGGAAAGCUGUCAUCAAGGCAAAGGGUGGGUAUUUUGAAGAACCUCAAAUAUAAAAUAUAUUUUUGAUUGAACACUUUUAAUACAUUAUUCCAUAUGUGUUAUUUCAUAGUUUUGAUGUAUUCACUAUUAUUCUACAAUGUAGAAAAUAGUAAAAAUAAAGAAAAACCCUUGAAUAGAUGUGUCCACACUUUCGGCUGGUACUGUAUUACAGGCUCAAAUUAACAAGUCCCAUCAGGCAUAGUGGUAGAAUGUCUCGCCUAUGGAGAAUAAUGACAUUUUUCCAGCCCAGUGGCUCUCGUAUAGUGGUGCUGUCCAUGGUGCUGAAACAGGCCUCUACAUUUUCUGUCAUUAUGUGGAAUCCACACUUUCAGACUCAACACUCACUCAGAGAGAGAUUGUAAGAGAGUGUAUCUGGUCCCAAAACACCCCUUGUCCCUAUUCCUGUCCCCUAUGUGACGUGUAAAUCCAGGCCCCCAUACAACAUGGUGGAAUCUCCCAUCAAACCUAUGGCAUGAUCAGCAACACACCAAAAAUGCUAUAUUACAUGCAGGAACCCAAAUCUGUACAAAUAUAUUACAUCCCUAGCCGGCUACCACCCGGUUACUCAACUCUGCACCUUAUAGGCUGUUGCCCUAUAUACAUACUGUAGACAUGGAAUCACUGGUCACUUUAAUAAUUAUAACACUGCUUUACUCAUCACAUAUGUAUAUACUGUAUUCUACUGUAUUUUAGUCAAUGCCACUCCGACAUUGCUCGUCCAAAUAUUUAUAUGUUUCUCCAUUCCAUUGUUUUACUUGUAGAUUUGUGUGUAUUGUUAGAUACUACAGCACUGUUGGAGCUAGGAAAACAAGCAUUUCGCUACACCCACAAUAACAUCUGCUAAAUGUGUCUAUGUGACCAAUGCAAUUUGAUUUGAUUUAAAACAGUAAAUUGUCUGUCACGUUCUGACCUUAGUUCUGUUAUUAUAUCUUUGUUUUAGUAUGGUCAGGGUGUGAGUUGGGUGGGCAGUCUGUUUGUUUUUCUAUGUUGGUUUUUGAGUUCGGCCUAGUAUGGUUCUCAAUCAGAGGCAGCUGUCAAUUGUUGUCCCUGAUUGAGAAUCAUACUUAGGUAGCCUGGGUUUCACUUUUGGGUUGUGGGUGUUUGUUUUCCGUGUUUUCGGUUUUGUAUAUUCACGUCAUCGUUUGUUGUUUUGUUCCAGUGUUCUAUUGUCUUGAUUAAAAAACAUU